UAUUAGGUUUGUGCAAAAGUAAUUGCGGUUUUUGUCAUUAAAAUUAAUGGCAAAACCGCAAUUACUUUUG
Molecule: microRNA precursor, 70 nt
Organism: Gorilla gorilla gorilla (western lowland gorilla)
Lineage: Eukaryota; Metazoa; Chordata; Mammalia; Primates; Hominidae
Source: Ensembl